This is a long non-coding RNA of Labeo rohita (rohu), 381 nucleotides long. RefSeq lists it as uncharacterized. The record is from RefSeq and is a predicted model, not a curated record. Lineage: Eukaryota; Metazoa; Chordata; Actinopteri; Cypriniformes; Cyprinidae. The transcript is spliced from 4 exons.
AAUAGUUCAUCCAAAAAUUACAAUUCGCUCUUGAUUUAGUCAGCCUUCUGUUUCCAAAGUAUUUUAACUUUUCUUUCUUCUGCAGAUAUUUUGAAGAACCUACAGGUCAAACAAUUCUGAACUCAACUGACUUUAUUCGAAAUUUUUGUCCUCCACAGAAGAAGGAAAGUCAUAUAUACGUUUGGAACAACAUAAUGCUCUUCUACGAAGCCAGACGUCUCGCUCCAGCAGUGGUGAAUUCCAGGAACAAAUAAGACAGAACUGAGUCAGCUUAUGAAAAAUGAUAACUUAAACCAGCAUGCAGAUGUUCUGCUCCUUCAAAAUGGUUGCCAGUGAACAGACACAGAUUUGGAAGUCCCUGAUCCAGUUACAGCAAUAAUG